This 253-nucleotide ribosomal RNA is filed under the name uncultured bacterium. RNAcentral's name for it is "partial 16S ribosomal RNA". It matches the Rfam family "Bacterial small subunit ribosomal RNA", at positions 524 to 776 of the family's 1533-position model. The record is from RNAcentral.
UACGGGGGGAGCAAGCGUUGUUCGGAUUUACUGGGCGUAAAGGGCGCGUAGGCGGUCGUGACAAGUCACUUGUGAAAUCUCCGGGCUUAACUCGGAACGGUCAAGUGAUACUGUCGGACUAGAGUACAGAAGGGGCAACUGGAAUUCUCGGUGUAGCGGUGAAAUGCGUAGAUAUCGAGAGGAACACCUGCGGCGAAGGCGGUUGCUGGGCUGAUACUGACGCUGAGGCGCGAAAGCCAGGGGAGCGAACGGG